This 407-nucleotide ribosomal RNA is filed under the name uncultured bacterium. Its description in RNAcentral is "bacterial SSU rRNA". It matches the Rfam family "Archaeal small subunit ribosomal RNA", at positions 339 to 747 of the family's 1478-position model. The record is from RNAcentral.
GCGCGAAACCUCCACAAUGCACGAAAGUGUGAUGGGGGGAUCCUACGUGCUCAUGUCUGACAUGGGCUUUUGCCAAGGCCAGAGAUCUUGGCGAAUAAGGGGUGGGCAAGACCGGUGCCAGCCGCCGCGGUAACACCGGCGCCCCAAGUGGCAAUCGCGAUUAUUGGGCCUAAAGCGUCCGUAGCCGGACAAGUAAAUCUUCUGUGAAAUCGUUGCGCUUAACGUAACGGCGCGCAGGGGACACUGCUUGUCUUGAGACCGGGAGGAGUCAGAGGUAUGCCGUGGGGACUGGUAAAAUGGUAUAAUCCACGGUAGACCACCAAUGGCGAAGGCAUCUGACCAGAACGGAUCUGACGGUGAGGGACGAAAGCUAGGGGAGCGAACCGGAUUAGAUACCCGUGUAGUCC